This 440-nucleotide long non-coding RNA is filed under the name Oryza brachyantha (malo sina). RNAcentral describes it as "long non-coding RNA (OBRA_LNC001469)". Lineage: Eukaryota; Viridiplantae; Streptophyta; Magnoliopsida; Poales; Poaceae. The record is from RNAcentral.
UGAAUUGCUGCUCUGUCACUGCCAACAAAAUGUCCCAAAGGGACCAAACCAUCAUUAGUUCAUCAUAAAAACAAAGUCAAAGAAGCAUCAACAUCACAAUUGCCAUAGGAGAAUGACUGAAACAUUACAAAUUCAGUACUAUGUAGUACUACUUUAGGAGUAGAGUGUACCUGCCUUUUCUGUGUGCAGGUACAGUGCAUCCGUGCAUUGACCUCAUGUCAGAGAACAGUAAAUUAGAGGGAUCUCAUCCCUUACGAACAUGCUAUCUUCGUAGCAUUCUUUUGAGAAUUAAGAGCGAAAAUGCCAUUUGCUAUGGGCUUCACACAUGAAUCGUGAUGCCGUUUUCUAUGUGUAACAUAUGCUUAGUUUUUAGUGGCCUCCAGAUAGAUAGUGUCGGGUUCACUUUGGAAUAAAUCAAUCUCGUCGGGAAGAAAGGUCAG